This 460-nucleotide ribosomal RNA is filed under the name uncultured bacterium. RNAcentral's name for it is "SSU rRNA". It matches the Rfam family "Bacterial small subunit ribosomal RNA", at positions 26 to 518 of the family's 1533-position model. The record is from RNAcentral.
AGAAUCAACGCUGGCGGCGUGCCUAACACAUGCAAGUCGCACGAGAAAGGGACUUCGGUCCUGAGUAAAGUGGCGCACGGGUGAGUAACACGUGAAUCAUCUACCCUCGAGUGGGGAAUAACCUAGAGAAAUCUGGGCUAAUACCGCAUAAUACUUACGAGUCAAAGCAGCAAUGCGCUUGGGGAGGAGUUCGCGGCCGAUUAGCUAGUUGGCGGGGUAAUGGCCCACCAAGGCGAUGAUCGGUAUCCGGCCUGAGAGGGCGCACGGACACACUGGAACUGAAACACGGUCCAGACUCCUACGGGAGGCAGCAGUGGGGAAUUUUGCGCAAUGGGGGAAACCCUGACGCAGCAACGCCGCGUGGAGGAUGAAGUAUCUUGGUACGUAAACUCCUUUCGAUGGGGAAGAUAAUGACGGUACCCAUAGAAGAAGCCCCGGCUAACUUCGCGCCAGCAGCCGC